This 253-nucleotide ribosomal RNA is filed under the name uncultured bacterium. RNAcentral describes it as "partial 16S ribosomal RNA". It matches the Rfam family "Bacterial small subunit ribosomal RNA", at positions 524 to 776 of the family's 1533-position model. The record is from RNAcentral.
GACGAACCGUGCGAACGUUGUUCGGAGUCACUGGGCUUAAAGGGCGCGUAGGCGGGUGGCCAAGUCAGGGGUGAAAUCCGGCAGCUUAACUGUCGAACAGCUUCUGAUACUGGCCGUCUUGAGGGGGGUAGGGGCAUGUGGAACUUCCGGUGGAGCGGUGAAAUGCGUAGAUAUCCGAAGGAACACCGGUGGCGAAAGCGGCGCGCUGGAUCUCUUCUGACGCUGAGGCGCGAAAGCCAGGGGAGCAAACGGG